GACGAACGCUGGCGGCGUGCUUAACACAUGCAAGUCGAGCGGAAAGGCCCUUUCGGGGGUACUCGAGCGGCGAACGGGUGAGUAACACGUGAGUAAUCUGCCCCUGGCUUUGGGCUAGCCACCGGAAACGGUGAUUAAUACCGGAUACGACCACUUCUCGCAUGGGAUGGUGGUGGAAAGUUUUUCGGCCAGGGAUGUGCUCGCGGCCUAUCAGCUUGAUGGUGAGGUAAUGGCUCACCAUGGCUUCGACGGGUAGCCGGCCUGAGAGGGUGACCGGUCACACUGGGACUGAGACACGGCCCAGACUCCUACGGGAGGCAGCAGUGGGGAAUAUUGGACAAUGGGCGGAAGCCUGAUCCAGCAACGCCGCGUGAGGGAUGAUGGCCUUCAGGUUGUAAACCUCUUUCAGCAGGGACGAAGCGCAAGUGACGGUACCUGCAGAAGAAGCACCGGCCAACUACGUGCCAGCAGCCGCCGUAA
Molecule: ribosomal RNA, 480 nt
Filed under: uncultured bacterium
Lineage: Bacteria
Description: partial 16S ribosomal RNA
Rfam family: Bacterial small subunit ribosomal RNA
Source: RNAcentral